GGGUGUGAUUGAUUGUGUGAAUUAAUUAGUUGUGUAAAGCGCUUUGAGUGCUCAGAUAGAGUAGAAAAGCGCUAUAUAAGAACAAGUCCAUUUACCUUAGUACACACCUCACAUCAUGCUCCUCAACAGUGACGAUGUGGAUGUGAUGUAGCCUCUUCUGGUGUUUUCUGUUUGAAGCAGGUACAGAAGCAGUUCAACUUCUCUAUGAGUGUAGCAUCACCAUUCACAGCAUUUGUUCUGGGUUAGUAGUUGGUGAUGUUAUGGACUCCCCUGCAGACCUGCCUUGAGUUAUAACUAUGGAGGUGGUCCUCAAUUUUGUUUUUGUAGUCUAGCUUAGCCCGUGUGAUGCCGGUUUUUUAAGGUUUUCCCUAGCUGCACUGUACAGUUCUACGUCUACAGACCUAUAGGCAGUGUUUCUUUCCUUCAGCAGGGUCUUGACCUCUCUUGUCAUCCAGGGUUUUUGAUUGGCAUACACGCAGAUAUGUUUUUCAAUAGUGACAGUGUCUGUGCAAUGCUUCAUGUAGGAGAAUACAGAUGUAGUGUACUCCUCCAGGUACUGAGAUUGAAAUAUGCUCCAGUCUGUUAGCUUAAAACAGUCCUGUAGUUUUUCUGAGACAACUUCAGGCCAAGUUUUCACCGUUUUGCAGGUUUCUCCAAUCUUAUAAACGGUACAUUUGCAUAAUGACUGAGUAACAAUGGGCUGUGAUCAGUUUCAUGAUCAUAAAUUUGUCAUGAUGAUUGACCAAUGACAUGAGUACCAUUCGGAGAGUUGGGGAACGGCCUCACAGCCCAUUGUUAGUCAGUUAGUCAGAUAAAAUAGACAAACUUAUGUGAUCACAAUGCUCAAAGUGAAAUGGUGUCUCCUCUCCUUCUUUGAUUGGAGUUUAAACCACUGGGAGGCCCUGAAAACGCUCUCAGCUGUCACAGAGCUCAGUGAACGGCCAAGAACGUGUUGUUUCCGUCAUUCAUAAACGUUGCGUAGCCUCAAGUGGAGUUCAAUGACUGAAAAAAAAGCAGUGGUUUUUAUUCGCCGCUCAUAAGGACGUUUUCUGUCGGGGUUUUCACUGAGUUUUACAGCGACCUGAUUUAAAAACACCACCUUAAAUAAUCAACCUUCAGCCACUUUAUGGGAAAUUUAAGACAUUUUAACGCUUUAAUUUCCCCAUUAUAUUUUCAGGCUGUUGUCUAUUAGUAAAAAAUUUAAUCAAUCUGGGACCAAAAAUAUUCAACAUAAACUGAAAGUCAAACUUAAUGUCAUUUAAAAAUGAGACAAAAUCAGUUUGAAAUUUUUAAAAAAAAUCUGAUUUUCUUGUCAGAUCUCAGCUUGUAUCGUCUGUCUGUUAGUUUGUGUUUCUUAUUUUUGGUCUAAUUCUCACUAAACUCUUGUGCUAUUAGACUCAAACUGAAAGUUAAUAUUUGUUUAUUUUCCACAGAGUAACUUUCAUGUAUUUAUGAUAUAUUUAUGGAACCUCUGCUAAUGAAAGAUAAUCUUGAGAACAUUUCCUCAUGAAAACGUGCUGAAUCUUUUAGAGACACAGUUUUCAAGCCUAUUUGAAUUUUUUUUUUUUUUUAAUAUUUUUCCAGUAUUUUUAUUUGGUUGAAACUGAUUAUUGUCUUUACUGCUUCAGGUUUUGAUUUGUUUGUUGUUGUUGAUCUACAGGAUCUACAGGAAAUAAUCUCACCAUCAUCAUUGCGAUUUUUGCUGUGGUUGUUGUCCUCGGCGCUGUGACUGGAUUCAUUGUCUACAAAAAGAAAACAAGCAAAUGCUCCCAGUCUCGUUUAUGGAGAUAUAUUGCACUCAAAAAAGAGACAUUGUCACUUGAUUCUCCAUAAAGUGGGACUAAAUUCUUUAAUUCGUCAAACUUAAGACUUGGAAAAAGUGUUGCACUUACUUAUUCAUCCAUUAACUAAUUUUAAAUUACUUGAUUCUUUUUUUGAAGUUCGAAUUAGUAAUUCAAAGUAAUUAAAAUUAUUUGUGAUUUUAAUCACUUUGAAUUUGGGGGAAAUAAAUUUAAAGAUGAAUUGGCAGAUAUUUAACAAGUAUAACAUAAAUGGUGACCUUAUUUUGAGACUUGAAUUCCCAGUCAGGAAGGUGGAUUUCUUUGAUAAAUAUAACACCAAUGGAGGGAAGUACCACAUGUUUUAAAAAUCACAUGACCGCAGUCUAAAAAAUUUUGGUUUAUUGGAAAUAAACACAAUAUAUUUUUAGCUUGGUAUUUCUGGUGUUGGGGUAUUCUGUAAAUCAAUAAAUUACUAAAUCACUGUUGGUAAAAAAUACAAAUGUAUUAUUAGAGAUGCUUGUCCUUUACAUACACAUGCUCUUAUAGUUUGGUAAUAUGAUCAUAUAUUUCUUUAGAUUUGUCAACAAACAGGACAAUUCUGUAAAUCAGUCAUCAACAUUAAAAAAACACAUUGUGGAAAUUAUAGAUUUUAAAUCACAUGAACUCAUCAGUGUAAAUUAUUGUUUAACUUUCUAAAUCUGUUGGUAAACUGGGAAUGACUCCAGUCCUCUGCAGCUCUCAGUAAUCAGACAGGAAAUGGUUGGAUGGGCACUGAACUGUUAUGAUUAGCAGGAUUUAUCAAUAAUGAUUUAGACACAUAUUUUCCAUUUGGUUUCUUCUACAUCUCUGAAUUAUUUUUUAACUUAAGUUCUUUAAAAUAUAUAUCAAGUAGAGGGAUAAAAUAACACCCAUCCAUAAACACAUGCCAAAGUCUCAGAUCACAGUGGAUUUCCAAAUUUUGUACAUAAACCGUUUGUACAUUUCUUUAAAACUAUUUUGUGUUGAUUUUAACCAGACCUAGGGUGGUUAUAAUUUAUGUCUUUGAGGUUAUUCUCAAAUAAAAAAGAUAAUUGUGUUGUUUCUUAUGUGUUUUUAGUCUAAAACGUUUUGAUCUUUGGUUUGUUUUCUGAUUUAGUUUAAAUUGAGCUUCUGAUGGCUUGUGUGAUAUUUUCUUGAAAAUGCUUUCUGUUCAUAUUUAGGGGUUUUAAAGGGCCUUUUCUGUCUUAUGUAAACACAUAGGAGUUAAACAGUGAUGUUGCUGUUUCAUUCUCUUUUAUACUUUUGCCUUUCAAUAAAGUCCCCAAUAAUCCAAA
This is a long non-coding RNA of Haplochromis burtoni (Burton's mouthbrooder), 3094 nucleotides long. RefSeq lists it as uncharacterized. NCBI's taxonomy places the organism in Eukaryota, Metazoa, Chordata, Actinopteri, Cichliformes, Cichlidae. The transcript is spliced from 3 exons. The record is from RefSeq and is a predicted model, not a curated record.